This 440-nucleotide ribosomal RNA is filed under the name uncultured bacterium. RNAcentral describes it as "partial 16S ribosomal RNA". It matches the Rfam family "Bacterial small subunit ribosomal RNA", at positions 338 to 795 of the family's 1533-position model. The record is from RNAcentral.
CCUACGGGAGGCUGCAGUGGGGGAUAUUGCACAAUGGGGGGAACCCUGAUGCAGCGACGCCGCGUGGGUGAAGAAGCGCCUCGGCGCGUAAAGCCCUGUCAGCAGGGAAGAAAAUGACGGUACCUGCAGAAAAAGCCACGGCUAACUACGUGCCAGCAGCCGCGGUAAAACGUAGGGGGCGAGCGUUCUCUGGAUUUACUGGGUGUAAAGGGGGAGCAGACGGCGAGGCAAGCCAGGAGUGAAAGCCCGGGGCCCAACCCCGGGACUGAUCUUGGAACUGCGUGGCUGGAGUGCAGGAGGGGCAGGUGGAAUUCCUGGUGUAGCGGUGAAAUGCGUAGAUAUCAGGAGGAACACCGGUGGCGAAGGCGGCCUGCUGGAAUGCAACUGACGUUGAGGCCCGAAAGCGUGGGGAGCAAACAGGAUUAGAUACCCGGGUAGUC